AGUGAACGCUGGCGGUAGGCCUAACACAUGCAAGUCGAACGGCAGCACGGUAAGAGCUUGCUCUUACGGGUGGCGAGUGGCGGACGGGUGAGGAAUACAUCGGAAUCUACUUUUUCGUGGGGGAUAACGUAGGGAAACUUACGCUAAUACCGCAUACGACCUACGGGUGAAAGCAGGGGAUCUUCGGACCUUGCGCGAUUGAAUGAGCCGAUGUCGGAUUAGCUAGUUGGCGGGGUAAAGGCCCACCAAGGCGACGAUCCGUAGCUGGUCUGAGAGGAUGAUCAGCCACACUGGAACUGAGACACGGUCCAGACUCCUACGGGAGGCAGCAGUGGGGAAUAUUGGACAAUGGGCGCAAGCCUGAUCCAGCCAUACCGCGUGGGUGAAGAAGGCCUUCGGGUUGUAAAGCCCUUUUGUUGGGAAAGAAAAGCAGCAGGUUAAUACCCCGCUGUUCUGACGGUACCCAAAGAAUAAGCACCGGCUAACCUCGUG
Molecule: ribosomal RNA, 492 nt
Filed under: uncultured bacterium
Lineage: Bacteria
Description: partial 16S ribosomal RNA
Rfam family: Bacterial small subunit ribosomal RNA
Source: RNAcentral